This 68-nucleotide transfer RNA is filed under the name Sclerolinum brattstromi. RNAcentral describes it as "tRNA-Ser". The record is from RNAcentral. Lineage: Eukaryota; Metazoa; Annelida; Polychaeta; Sabellida; Siboglinidae.
AAAAUAUGUCUGGGACAAUGUGUAACUUCUAAUUAUACCCUGAGCUGUUCAAUUCAGCUCAUAUUUUU